RNAcentral lists this unclassified non-coding RNA (3634 nucleotides) under Hevea brasiliensis (rubber tree). The record is from RNAcentral. Lineage: Eukaryota; Viridiplantae; Streptophyta; Magnoliopsida; Malpighiales; Euphorbiaceae.
ACUACUACUACUACUACUACUACGACGACGACGUAUAUCAAUCUAUGCAAAUUAUUUUGUUGCUUGAAAAAUAAUCAAUGAACUGAUGUGCAAUAUUUUGUGGAAUUUUAGAUUCAAGAAGGUGAUCUAAUUAGAGGUUCAGAUGAUCUGGAGAAACUAGAAGAGUGAACUGCUGCUUUUGGAUUGGUGGAUCCUGCUUUGCUGUUGCAAUGCUGUUUUUCGUAAUCCUCAUUUUGGUGUCUGAUCUCCUUCAGCAUUGCUGUUACAUCUUUCAUUGUGGGUCGUUCCCCUGGGGAAGGGUUCACACAGAGUAGCGCCACCCCAAGCACCUGAAGCAUUUCUUGAAGCUGAGUGCCUGAUCGAAGAAGUAGCUGCUGGUCUAGAAUUGUUGUGAAUUCUCUUUUUCUUUCCCGGAGUUCUUUGUUGACCCAAGCUAAAAUGUGGGCACCUUCAGGAAUCCUGUUGUCAGUUGGUUCUUUCCCUGUUAACACUUCCAGAAGAACUACACCAUAGCUGAACACAUCACUCUUCUCUGUGAUUCUGAAACUGUAUCCAUAUUCCGGAGCAAUGUAUCCAUAAGAACCGGCAAUGGUGUUAGAAGCUAUAGAACACUCUGCAGCAUCAACAAGCUUCGCAAGUCCAAAAUCUGCUAGAAAAGCUUCAAACUGUGGCCCUACCAAGAUAUUAUUUGCCUUGAUAUCACGAUGUACAAUUGGAGGAGUACAAUCAUGGUGAAGAUAAGCCAGACCAUGAGCUGCCCCUAGUAUGAUCUUGUAUCUUGCAUCCCAAUCCAAGAACAGCUUCUUCUCGUGGAGUAAUCCAGCCAAACUUCCAUUGCUGAUAUAGUCAAACAAAAGCAAUCUGGUUUUUCCAUUGUUACAACAUCCUAGGAGCCUUACUAUAUUUUUAUGUCUUAUUGAUCCAAGAGUUCUAACUUCAGCAGAAAACCAGUCCCUCUCUGGAAAUUCACCAUUCUUCACUGGCCAGAGCUUUUUGACUGCAAUAACCUGUUUCAAUGGAGUCUCAACACGAUAAACAAUCCCUGAACAGCCUUUUCCAAUGACGUUUGAAUCUGAGAGUCUGGUUACUAUAUCGUUGACAGAGAAGUUAAGCUUUUGAAAUGGGGUGAAAUCCCAUUCCAAUAUAUUUUCUUCAUUAUUCCUUGCAAAUGCAGCUCGGCGAAUUCUGGUAAAGAGAAGCAGUCCCACGAGCACAACCAACAACGUUACUGUUAAACUGAGAAGAGUACACAUGACUAGAUGUCGGGUGUUCUUGACAUGGCGAUUUCCACUUAAGGGGCACUUGUUUCUGUUAAUGCAGAGCUCUGGAUUUCCGGCAUAUGCAAUGGCAGGGAUAUCAUGGAAGAACUUAGUAUCAGGAAGGAAACCUGAAAAUUUGUUGUAUGAGACAUCCAGAGAGACGAGAUUGUCAAGACUACCAAGUACUGUGAGUGUUCCUGUGAGCUUGUUGUGAGAGAGAUCUAAGUUGGCAAGUUUUGAGAGGUUUGCAAAGCUGUCUGGAAUCGGACCCGUUAGAUAGUUCCUACUCAAAUUCAAGAGGAUGUCUAGCCCCUGCAAGUGACCAAUCUGUCCUGGGAUUGAACCAGAUAGUCUGUUCCUGCUCAUAUCUAGCAACUGCAGAUCCCGACAGAGGCCAAGUGACUUGGGAAUCAAACCAGUGAUGUAGUUUUCACUGAUUACCAGUUUGUUUAAAGAUGUAAGCUUGCCCAAGUUUUCAGGGAUGGUGCCUGAUAUACUGUUCAUUGAAAGGUCUAAAACAUUUAGAUUAACAAGGAAUUCAAGAGUUCUCGGAAUGAUUCCUUGAAGCCUAUUUCCAUGCAAGUCAACCAUUUCUAGCUGAGUGCAAUUUCCAAUUUCAUGAGGAAUACAUCCAGUAAAUUGAUUAUCAGACAAUUCGAGGAAGCUCAAGUUAUGUAAGAACCCUAUUUCUGGUGGAAUUUGACCAGUAAAGUUGUUUGAUCCCAGUCGCAAACGGAUCAAACCAAUGCAGUUGCCAAUAUCAGAUGGAAUUUCACCUGAAAGUCCAUUUGAUAACAGCAGCAAUUGGGUUAAGUUGUUGAGAUGAAAGAGAGAAUGUGGAACUGACCCAUUGAGGAUGUUGUGAGAAAGAUCUAGUGCUUGAAGUUUCUCACAGUUGGCUAGCUCAGAGGGUAUGCUUCCAUGGAGCUGGUUCUGCCAGGCAUAGAACAACGAAAGCUCCUUUAGUUGCCCAAUGGCAGCUGGAAUCUCACCAGAGAAUUUGUUAUUAUCCAGUUCAAGCUGCUUCAGAGCAGAAAAAUUCCCAACAAAAGCUGGGAUUUCUCCCGAAAUAUAAUUAUAAGACAAAAGAAGCUCCUCCAAUGCUACUAUCGUGACCAGAGACACAGGAACCCCACCGGUUAGAGAAUUCAUCGAGAGAUCAAUGAUUUUCAAAACUGAGCAGUUUCCCAGAGCUGCUGGAAUGCUCCCAGUUAGAUUGUUCUGCCACAACAACAGCCUCUUGAGAUUUUGUAAUGAAGCCAGUUCAUCGGGAAUGUUGUCUGAGAGUUGGUUUUCAUAAAGGAAGAGAUCUUCUAAGGCUGAGCAAUUACCAAUUUCUGGUGGGAUGUUACCAGUGAGAUUAGCUGUAUAAACUGAUAGAGUCUUGAGAUACUUCAUUUGCCCUAUGCUACUCGGAAUCUGUCCUGAAAUCCCCGUGUCUGCAAGACCCAAAUAGAGUAGCCCUUUGCAGUUUGAUAUCUGCAUUGGUAUUUCACCAUGAAUUCCUGGGUUCCCACCAGCGCGAAAAAUCUCCAGGGCUAACAACUGGCCUAUUUCUGCAGGAAGCUUUCCAGAGAGCUGGUUAUCAAACAGUUCAAGCUGUCUAAGCGCUGAACAGUUUCCUAUUUCCCCUGGAAUCUCACCAUGAAGCAAAUUCGAAUCCAAUGAAAGUGACUGCAAUUGAGACAGUUUUCCAAUUUCUACUGGGAUUUUUCCUGAUAAAGCAUUGAAACUGAGGUCCAGGGUGAUCAGUGAGGAUAGGUUUCCUAUGGAAGGAGGAAUUUCUCCCGUGAGGUUCCCAUGGGAAAGGAUAAGAGUAGUGAGAUGGUCAAAGGAGAGGAGCUGGGUGGGGAAGCUGGUAGGAAGUUUGAUGGAGGUGAUUGUUAUGUCUGUGACAAACCCAUUCCUAGAACAUUUGACAUACUUCCAUUUGCAUGGAUUUUGGUGGCUUGGAUCCCAUGAAGAGAAAAAAGUAUAUGAAGAAGAAGAAUUGAAGGUUGAAAGCCAUGAAAGUAGAGAAUGACCUUCUUGGUUCAGUGCAGAGAUGGCCGGAAAAAGAGAUAUGUUGAGAAACAAGAGAAAAAUAGUGAUUGCAUUGCUUGACAUCAUGAGGUUGGUACUGUCUGCUACUGUGCUAUCUCAUUUAAUUAUAGCACAUCCAGCCUCCCAAAUUUCUAUUAGUUUUCUUUUUAUGAGAUUCAGAUACUGAAAUACCCUUGGUUUAAUCCAUAUUUACUGACAGAAUACUUUCUGUAAACAUGAAAUCCUUCCCCUUUUCUCGUGCAUACCAUGACUUUUUUUUUUUUUUAACGGGUAAUUGGGGAUGUGAAAAGUUAUCUUCCUCUAAUUUAUCCCAAAAUUCUAUUCUAUUAAAA